Molecule: unclassified non-coding RNA, 369 nt
Filed under: uncultured fungus
Lineage: Eukaryota; Fungi
Description: sequence contains ITS1
Rfam family: 5.8S ribosomal RNA (bases 1-101)
Source: RNAcentral
AAAGUGCGACAAGUGUCAUGACUUGCAGAUACCCGAGAGCUGACAAAUUUCUGAAUGCAAAUUGCAGCCAAGUUAACCUGGCUAUGCGUUGCAGAGAGUACUUCGCGUAUGCGCUCCAUCCAGAGAUGUUUUCGCAACUCUGGGACAUGCGAUUGGGAACAAGAGAGAGUGUGUGGGGGGUCCUCCCCUCGCGCACAUGCUCUUCUCUUCGACCAGUGUCUCCGUACUACUGCGUCGCCCGAACGUCAAAGUCAGAAAACCUCGUGUUUUCCUGAAUACCUUGAGACAAGGGAACGAGAGACUCACAUCUCUCUUUCUUCUUCUUCUCACUCCUCACCUCUGCAAUGCAGGAGAACCCGCUGAACUUAA